Molecule: ribosomal RNA, 206 nt
Filed under: uncultured bacterium
Lineage: Bacteria
Description: partial 16S ribosomal RNA
Rfam family: Bacterial small subunit ribosomal RNA
Source: RNAcentral
UACGUAGGGGGCUAGCGUUGUCCGGAUUUAUUGGGCGUAAAGAGCGUGUAGGCGGCCAGGUAGGUCUGGUGUGAAAACUCGAGGCCUUAACCUCGAGAUGUCAUCGGAAACCAUUUGGCUAGAGUCCGGAAGAGGAGAGUGGAAUUCCUGGUGUAGCGGUGAAAUGCGCAGAUAUCAGGAGGAACACCAAUGGCGAAAGGCAGAUC